This 497-nucleotide ribosomal RNA is filed under the name uncultured bacterium. RNAcentral describes it as "partial 16S ribosomal RNA". It matches the Rfam family "Bacterial small subunit ribosomal RNA", at positions 28 to 507 of the family's 1533-position model. The record is from RNAcentral.
GAUGAACGCUGGCGGCGUGCCUAAUACAUGCAAGUCGAGCGAACAGACGAGGAGCUUGCUCCUCUGACGUUAGCGGCGGACGGGUGAGUAACACGUGGAUAACCUACCUAUAAGACUGGGAUAACUUCGGGAAACCGGAGCUAAUACCGGAUAAUAUAUUGAACCGCAUGGUUCAAUAGUGAAAGACGGUUUUGCUGUCACUUAUAGAUGGAUCCGCGCCGCAUUAGCUAGUUGGUAAGGUAACGGCUUACCAAGGCGACGAUGCGUAGCCGACCUGAGAGGGUGAUCGGCCACACUGGAACUGAGACACGGCCCAGACUCCUACGGGAGGCAGCAGUAGGGAAUCUUCCGCAAUGGGCGAAAGCCUGACGGAGCAACGCCGCGUGAGAGAUGAAGGUCUUCGGAUCGUAAAACUCUGUUAUUAGGGAAGAACAAAUGUGUAAGUAACUAUGCACGUCUUGACGGUACCUAAUCAGAAAGCCACGGCUAACUACGUG